Non-coding RNA from Brachypodium distachyon (stiff brome), 94 nucleotides. The record is from Rfam. NCBI's taxonomy places the organism in Eukaryota, Viridiplantae, Streptophyta, Magnoliopsida, Poales, Poaceae.
UGCCGUGAUGAUUGCUUACUUCUGACACCUCUUGUACGAGAAGCGCCUCAAAAAGCGCUUCGCUGAGCAGAUCACAGCAACUGUUAUCUGAGCA